GGCAGCUACCGUAUCCAGGAUAUUUUGGCUUCACUUUUGCACAGUUGGAGGAAGUGGAGACGCGUCGUCCAUCUGUACAUAUUCAGUGUGUGGUCCAUGCUGCUGUGCUGCUGAAUAUGAGUGCGGGUUGCCGUAGAAACAUCACAGGGUUCGACAGAGGCGCUGCUCAUCAUGACCACACUGGAGAUGAUCAACAUCUGGAGAGAAAAGACCCUCCAGCCUCGUUUACUCCAGAGCCUGCUGGUAGCAUCAAGUGACAGUGAUAGUUGUGAAAGGGGGAGAGAGAGGGUAUGACCUGCAGCAAAGGGCCACGGGCCGCUACGGUAAGGACUCAACCUUGGUACAUGGGACGCCCACUUUACCAGGGAAUAUAAACAGAGACUCACGCACAACACAGAGCCGAUGGAGGGAUGAGACAGGCGGUUGAAAAUGGAGGGAUCUUCAAGUUAAACAACAGGAUUUCACAGACACUCCUGGAGGCUUUGUCGCCUAGCAGUGCCCAUAGGUCUCUUGAUUGAACAGCUGCCGUAUCAACUCAGGGGCCACAGCGGUGGCUAUUUGCAGCUGAGAGGUACCUCCGCCGAUAAAUCUCCUGACACAGAUAAAGAGGAAGACACAUGUAACACACAAACACAACCCUCUCACAUCCGGCACACUACUUCAAUCCAGUGUUCUGUGUUGGAUGAACUGGAGCUUUACCUCACACACAUUUUUGGCUACACACAUAGCCUACAUAUAUUUGAAAUACAGAAGUCCCUCAGCGACGAGAGCUUCUUUUUUAUAUUUGAUGUGAGAUGACAGCAGGAAGCCCCUUUAGGGCCGCGAUACAUGGACAUCAAUUUCAGGCACUGUGGAUUUACAUGCGCAGCACUUCCUGCAACAUGCUGCAUGGGACAAAGGCGAAAUUACUAACAUUGGGUUAUGAGAUACAAAUAUAACAUGAAAAGAUGCUUUAGGCUGCAGUUGUGUGACAGAAUUAUUCAUAAUGUUUUAUGAUGGCAUUAAGACCAAUAACGUGUACUUUUAACACUCGUUAUUCUGUGUUUCAGGUAAAUUUUGUGAAUGUGUUGCAAAAGACAAAAACAAAAUGCAAUUUAUUUGUUUUUCCUCAUACCUGCCUUUCAAUGUCAGACCACUACACAAGACAACAAUCAACCAGUCCGUCAGUCAGUCAGUCAGUCAGUCAGUCCGUCAUCCGGUAGUCUGUCAGUCAGUCUGUCAGUCCGUCAAUCUGUCCGUCAGUCAGUC
This is a long non-coding RNA of Sebastes umbrosus (honeycomb rockfish), 1248 nucleotides long. RefSeq lists it as uncharacterized. Lineage: Eukaryota; Metazoa; Chordata; Actinopteri; Perciformes; Sebastidae. The transcript is spliced from 3 exons. The record is from RefSeq and is a predicted model, not a curated record.